Molecule: ribosomal RNA, 250 nt
Filed under: uncultured bacterium
Lineage: Bacteria
Description: partial 16S ribosomal RNA
Rfam family: Bacterial small subunit ribosomal RNA
Source: RNAcentral
UACGAGGGGUGCAAACGUUAUUCGGAAUCACUGGGCGUAAAGGGUGCGUAGGCGGCAAGAUAAGUCAAUUAUUAAAUCUCUUAGCUUAACUAAGAAUCUGUGAUUGAAACUGACUUGCUUGAGGAUGGAAGAGAGAAGUGGAAUUCUCGGAGUAGCGGUAAAAUGCGUAGAUCUCGAGAGGAACACCGAUGGCGAAGGCAGCUUCUUGGUCCAUAUCUGACGCUGAAGUACGAAAGCGUGGGGAGCAAAC